UGAGUAACCUGCCCCAAACUCUGGGAUAAGCACUGGAAACGGUGUCUAAUACCGGAUACGAGCUUCAGCCGCAUGGCUAGGAGUUGGAAAGAAUUUCGGUUUGGGAUGGACUCGCGGCCUAUCAGCUAGUUGGUGAGGUAAUGGCUCACCAAGGCGACGACGGGUAGCCGGCCUGAGAGGGUGACCGGCCACACUGGGACUGAGACACGGCCCAGACUCCUACGGGAGCAG
This 231-nucleotide ribosomal RNA is filed under the name uncultured bacterium. Its description in RNAcentral is "partial 16S ribosomal RNA". It matches the Rfam family "Bacterial small subunit ribosomal RNA", at positions 118 to 347 of the family's 1533-position model. The record is from RNAcentral.